RNAcentral lists this ribosomal RNA (433 nucleotides) under uncultured bacterium. RNAcentral's name for it is "partial 16S ribosomal RNA". It matches the Rfam family "Bacterial small subunit ribosomal RNA", at positions 29 to 507 of the family's 1533-position model. The record is from RNAcentral.
AACGAACGCUGGCGGCAUGCCUAACACAUGCAAGUCGAACGAGACCUUCGGGUCUAGUGGCGCACGGGUGCGUAACGCGUGGGAACCUGCCCUUAGGUUCGGAAUAACUCCCCGAAAGGGGUGCUAAUACCGGAUAAUGUCUUCGGACCAAAGAUUUAUCGCCUUUGGAUGUGCCCGCGUUGGAUUAGCUAGUUGGUAGGGUAAAAGCCUACCAAGGCGACGAUCCAUAGCUGGUCUGAGAGGAUGAUCAGCCACACUGGGACUGAGACACGGCCCAGACUCCUACGGGAGGCAGCAGUGGGGAAUAUUGGACAAGGGGCGAAAGCCUGAUCCAGCAAUGCCGCGUGAGGGAUGAAGGCCUUAGGGUUGUAAAGCUCUUUUACCCGGGAUGAUAAUGACAGUACCGGGAGAAGAAGCUCCGGCUAACUCCGUG